RNAcentral lists this transfer RNA (77 nucleotides) under Clostridiales bacterium. RNAcentral describes it as "tRNA-Thr". It matches the Rfam family "tRNA". From Rfam's summary of the family: Transfer RNA (tRNA) molecules are approximately 80 nucleotides in length. Their secondary structure includes four short double-helical elements and three loops (D, anti-codon, and T loops). Further hydrogen bonds mediate the characteristic L-shaped molecular structure. tRNAs have two regions of fundamental functional importance: the anti-codon, which is responsible for specific mRNA codon recognition, and the 3' end, to which the tRNAs corresponding amino acid is attached (by aminoacyl-tRNA synthetases). tRNAs cope with the degeneracy of the genetic code in two manners: having more than one tRNA (with a specific anti-codon) for a particular amino acid; and 'wobble' base-pairing, i.e. permitting non-standard base-pairing at the 3rd anti-codon position. RNAcentral also lists the same sequence under 1 other name. The record is from RNAcentral. Lineage: Bacteria; Bacillati; Bacillota; Clostridia; Eubacteriales.
GCUGGUGUAGCUCAGUUGGUAGAGCACUUCAUUGGUAAUGAAGAGGCUCACGAGUUCGACUCUCGUCACCAGCUCCA